Molecule: ribosomal RNA, 428 nt
Filed under: Megaphyllum rossicum
Lineage: Eukaryota; Metazoa; Arthropoda; Diplopoda; Julida; Julidae
Description: partial small subunit ribosomal RNA
Rfam family: Archaeal large subunit ribosomal RNA
Source: RNAcentral
AUGUUCUUUUGUUAUUUUUUAAGAGAUUUGGCCUGCCCACUGAGUAUUUUAAAGGGCUGCAGUAUUAUGACUGUACAAAGGUAGCAUAAUCAUUAGUCUUUUAAUUGAAGACUGGUAUGAAAGGUUGAACCAGGAAACACUGUCUUAAAAUAAAUUUUUGAGGUUUUCUUUUUUGUUAAAAGACAAAAGUAGGUAUAAGGGACAAGAAGACCCUUUUAAAGUUGACUUAGUGAGUAAUAUUUAUGUAUAUGAUUAUGGUGAUAUUAUUUAUGAGGUUUGGCUGGGGCGGUAAGUAUAAUAAAACAAUAUUUAAAAUAAAUAUAAAAUAGCUUUUUUUAAGAUCCUGUUAGGGGGCAAAAAGAAAAAGUUACUAAAGGGAUAACAGCGUAAUAUAUUUUGAGAGUUCAUAUUGACAAAUAUGUUUGCGA